CGGUAAUUCCAGCUCCAAUAGCGUAUACUAAAGUUGUUGCAGUUAAAAAGCUCGUAGUUGGAUUUCUGCGGGGACGGAGCGGCCGGACGCAACUUGCGUCUCGAGCUAGCGCUUUCCCCGCAUCCUGCCGCGAACCGUGCUACCAUUAGCUUGGUGGCGCUGGGGAUCGGCUCGAUUACUUUGAGAAAAAUAGAGCGUUCAAAGCAGGCCACACGCCUUGAAUAAGUUAGCAUGGAAUAAUGACUAAGGACUUCGGUUCUAUUUUGUUGGUGUUCGGGACUGAAGUAAUGAUUGAUAGGGACAGUUGGGGCGGUCUGUAUUCCAAAGCGAGAGGUGAAAUUCUUAGACCUUCGGAAGACAAACAGCUGCGAAAGCGUUCCGCAAGGAUGUUCCCUUUGAUUAAGAACGAAAGUUGGGGGAUCGAAGACGAUCAGAUACCGUCGUAGUCUCAACUAUAAACUAUACCAGCUAGGGAUCGGUCAACGUUUAAUCAUUCGACUUGAUCGGCACCUUAUGAGAAAUCAAAGCAUCUGGGUUCCGGGGGGAGUAUGGUCGCAAGGCUGAAACUUAAAGGAAUUGACGGAAGGGCACCACCAGCCGUGGAGCCUGUGGCUUAAUUUGACUCAACACGGGAAAACUUACCAGGUCCAGACAUAGUAAGGAUUGACAGAUUGAUAGCUCUUUCUUGAUUCUGUGGGUGGUGGUGCAUGGCCGUUCUUAGUUGGUGGAGUGAUUUGUCUGGUUAAUUCCGUUAACGAACGAGACCCCAGCCUGCUAAAUAGCGCGGCUGAGCUUUGCUCGGUGCGAGCUUCUUAGAGGGACUAUGAUGCGCGAUAGCACAUGGAAGUUUGGGGCAAUAACAGGUCUGUGAUGCCCUUAGAUGUUCUGGGCCGCACACGGGCUACACUGGCGCCUGCAACGAGCAUAUCAGCUGGCCCGAGAGGGUCUUGGCUAAUCUUUUGAACCGGCGCCGUGCUUGGGAUUGACCAUUGCAAUUGUUGGUCAUGCAACGAGGAAUGCCUUGUAAACGCGAGUCAUCAGCUCGCAUUGAAUACGUCCCUGCCCUUUGUACACACCGCCCGUCGCUCCUACCGAUGAAUGUUCCGAUGAAAUUUUCGGAGAGCGCCAGAGAACGGGGCUCUGCCUUGCAGAUCUGGAGGCUCAAAGUCACUUAAAUCUGAACAUUUCGAGGAAGGAGAAGUCGUAACAAGGUAGCCG
RNAcentral lists this ribosomal RNA (1218 nucleotides) under uncultured Rhizaria. RNAcentral's name for it is "SSU rRNA". It matches the Rfam family "Eukaryotic small subunit ribosomal RNA", at positions 577 to 1805 of the family's 1831-position model. The record is from RNAcentral.